CCUACGGGAGGCAGCAGUGAGGAAUAUUGGUCAAUGGGCGCAAGCCUGAACCAGCCAUCCCGCGUGAGGGAAGAAUGCGCUAUGCGUAGUAAACUUCUUUUCCAGAGGAAGAAAACCCCCGACGUGUCGGGGCUUGCCGGUACUCUGGGAAUAAGCAUCGGCUAACUCCGUGCCAGCAGCCGCGGUAAUACGUAAGAUGCUAGCGUUGUCCGGAUUUACUGGGUGUAAAGGGAGCGCAGGCGGGUUGGUAAGUCGGUGGUGAAAUUCUUAGGCUUAACCUGAGAACUGCCAUCGAUACUGCUAAUCUUGAGUGCAGAAGAGGUUGAUGGAAUUCUAGGUGUAGCGGUGAAAUGCGUAGAUAUCUAGAAGAACACCGAUGGCGAAGGCAGUCAACUGGUCUGCUACUGACGCUCAUGCUCGAAAGCGUGGGGAUCAAACAGGAUUAGAUACCCUGGUAGUCCACGCCCUAAACGAUGAAUACUCGAUGUCGGGCCGCAAGGCUCGGUGUCUAAGCUAACGCAUUAAGUAUUCCACCUGGGGAGUACGAUCGCAAGGUUGAAACUCAAAGGAAUAGACGG
Molecule: ribosomal RNA, 578 nt
Filed under: uncultured bacterium
Lineage: Bacteria
Description: bacterial SSU rRNA
Rfam family: Bacterial small subunit ribosomal RNA
Source: RNAcentral